UCUUGGUAAAAAUGGCUAACGGCACUUGUUCAACAUAUCCAAUGAUGAAUAUUCACAAAUUUCAAAUGACUGACUGCACAAAACACGAGUAAAGCAUGGCAGUGGAAAAAAAGAAAAAAAGAAAAAAAAACGUAAUUUUAGAGUCAUCUUCGUAGGUUCGAGCAUGAACAACUGCGGAAUGAAUCUCUGCCCCUCUACGAUUCAAGUCAUCAUUGCUCCUUUCCAUGUUGCAGAGUAGAAGGCAAGAAAGAUCGGCCAACUUAAUUUAAUCGAUCUUCCAUCUUGAUGCAGGGUUUUAACCCAAAGGAAAAAAGAAAA
Molecule: long non-coding RNA, 318 nt
Filed under: Eucalyptus grandis
Lineage: Eukaryota; Viridiplantae; Streptophyta; Magnoliopsida; Myrtales; Myrtaceae
Description: long non-coding RNA (EGRA_LNC001616)
Source: RNAcentral